This 388-nucleotide ribosomal RNA is filed under the name uncultured bacterium. RNAcentral's name for it is "bacterial SSU rRNA". It matches the Rfam family "Bacterial small subunit ribosomal RNA", at positions 420 to 806 of the family's 1533-position model. The record is from RNAcentral.
GGGUUGUACACUUCUUUUAUAAAGGAAUAAAGUCGGGUAUGCAUACCCGUUUGCAUGUAUUUUAUGAAUAAGGAUCGGCUAACUCUGUGCCAGCAGCCGCGGUAAUACGGAGGAUCCGAGCGUUAUCCGGAUUUAUUGGGUUUAAAGGGAGCGUAGAUGGAUGUUUAAGUCAGUUGUGAAAGUUUGCGGCUCAACCGUAAAAUUGCAGUUGAUACUGGAUGUCUUGAGUGCAGUUGAGGCAGGCGGAAUUCGUGGUGUAGCGGUGAAAUGCUUAGAUAUCACGAAGAACUCCGAUUGCGAAGGCAGCCUGCUAAGCUGCAACUGACAUUGAGGCUCGAAAGUGUGGGUAUCAAACAGGAUUAGAUACCCUGGUAGUCCACACGGUAAA